GAUGAACGCUGGCGGCGUGCCUAAUACAUGCAAGUCGAGCGAACGGACGAUAAGCUUGCUUCUCUGAUGUUAGCGGCGGACGGGUGAGUAACACGUGGAUAACCUACCUAUAAGACUGGGAUAACUUCGGGAAACCGGAGCUAAUACCGGAUAAUAUUUUGAACCGCAUGGUUCAAAAGUGAAAGACGGUCUUGCUGUCACUUAUAGAUGGAUCCGCGCUGCAUUAGCUAGUUGGUAAGGUACCGGCUUACCAAGGCAACGAUGCAUAGCCGACCUGAGCGGGUGAUGGGCCACACUGGAACUGAGACACGGUCCAGACUCCUACGGGAGGGAGCAGUAGGGAAUCUUCCGCAAUGGGCGAAAGCCUGACGGAGCAACGCCGCGUGAGUGAUGAAGGUCUUCGGAUCGUAAAACUCUGUUAUUAGGGAAGAACAUAUGUGUAAGUAACUGUGCACAUCUUGACGGUACCUAAUCAGAAAGCCACGGCUAACUACGUG
Molecule: ribosomal RNA, 497 nt
Filed under: uncultured bacterium
Lineage: Bacteria
Description: partial 16S ribosomal RNA
Rfam family: Bacterial small subunit ribosomal RNA
Source: RNAcentral